CCCAGUGGUGAUAGCACGUUGAAUUCACCAAUUCCCAAUGGAUCACUGAAGCAAUGUUGCGCGUGGUUGGUAUCUGGAUGGGUGGCCAUCUGGACAAUCGCACGCUGUUGGCU
This 113-nucleotide ribosomal RNA is filed under the name Diaphorina citri (Asian citrus psyllid). Lineage: Eukaryota; Metazoa; Arthropoda; Insecta; Hemiptera; Psyllidae. The record is from RNAcentral.